Non-coding RNA from Podarcis lilfordi (Lilford's wall lizard), 316 nucleotides. Lineage: Eukaryota; Metazoa; Chordata; Lepidosauria; Squamata; Lacertidae. The record is from the annotation of a GenBank genome assembly.
CAAUGUGAGGGCGAUCUGGCUGCGACAUCUGUCACCCCAUUAAUCACUAGGGUUGAUUUGGCUGAUCUGGCUGGCUAGGCAGGUGUCCCCUUCCUCCCUCACCACUCCAUGUGCGUCCUUCCCAAAGCUGCACGCUCAGUAGAAGAGGACGACCAUCCUAGAUAGAAGGAGUGUACUGUUCUUCAGUCAAGGGUAUACGAUAGCUGCGCUCCCCUGCUAGAACCUCCAAACAAGCUCAAGGUUAACACUCUAUUCCUGAAUAGAACUGUGGUAUAUUCACGAUACCUAGGUUCUGCACAUGACAAGAGCGAGUGGU